RNAcentral lists this ribosomal RNA (253 nucleotides) under uncultured bacterium. RNAcentral's name for it is "partial 16S ribosomal RNA". It matches the Rfam family "Bacterial small subunit ribosomal RNA", at positions 524 to 776 of the family's 1533-position model. The record is from RNAcentral.
UACGGGGGGGGCAAGCGUUGUUCGGAAUUACUGGGCGUAAAGGGCUCGUAGGUGGCCAACUAAGUCAGACGUGAAAUCCCUCGGCUUAACCGGGGAACUGCGUCUGAUACUGGAUGGCUUGAGUUCGGGAGAGGGAUGCGGAAUUCCAGGUGUAGCGGUGAAAUGCGUAGAUAUCUGGAGGAACACCGGUGGUGAAGGCGGCAUCCUGGACCGACACUGACGCUGAGGAGCGAAAGCCAGGGGAGCAAACGGG